GUGAAUUAUUGUGGAACUUCAAAAAAAUAAUUAUAUCCUAAUGUUAACGAUAAUGUUUAAAUCUACAAUUGUUCUUAUUUUACUAUAGCAUGUUUUAGUAAUUAAAGAUCUUUAUGCUGAGACCCUGUAAUGUAACUAUCAGUAUUAUAAAAAAACCCAAGAUGCUAGUUUUGAGACCCACUGAAAUUUACACUAAUUUUGGCGAUUAAGUUCUGCAGGGGAAGUUGCGGUUGCUGCUAUUAUCCAGGAAGGUGGUGAGUGUAUCGUGUCCAGUUUGGCUAGAUCCAGUCCUUAGGGUGGCUUAGGCCUUUUAUUUAUUUAAAGAAAUAAAAUACAGAAGAGCCAUUGUGUGAUAGGGUGGAUUAGAAUGCAAAUCAAGUCUUUUUUGCCAGUGGUGUUUACUGCUUGCCAAGAGUGUGAAAGCUAUUUAGAGGAUAGCGCCUUGUUUGUACUUUAGAGAGCAAUUGCAAUAGUGUAGGCUAGCAGAGCUCUGAGGCAUUUGCUUCUGUAGAGCUGUUCUCACUGUCUGCACCUUAAUGACAUGCACGAUUGGUCCAUGGUUGUGGAGGCUGUCCUGGACAUGCUCAUCUCUACAUUGAGGACAGGCCUCAUCCUCAUCCUUUCUCUACCACGACCACACAGCUGACUGUCCCAGGUUUCAAUGGCUUGAAAAGAUGUCAAUUUCGUCAUGAGCUUUCAAAGUGGGUAGUUAAAAACAAUAACACAUUUGUGACUACCAGCUGCAUGCACGCGUACGUAUCUGUGGAAGAAUACCCUUUGCAGUGAAUUAGAGGAAUCAGGCAGACAGAUGCAACAGCGUGCAAAAGAGAAUAGUAACUACCAUGCAUGAAAAUCAGUGCUCCAUGAAGAAACUCCAUUGAGACAUCCUCAUUUUCAUCCAGCCACUGAAUGACAAAUGGUUCAAACCAUCUGAAAAUUAAAACCAAUCUUCUAAAGUAUAUUCCUUAAAGAUUUGUCACUGUGACCAUUCCUUAAGGAUUUGUCACUGUCUUCAUGUCUGUUCUAGUUGCCAUAAGAUACUGUGACUAACAGAACACAUUUCAGCUUAACUGUGCUACUCAUUCUGGUAUUCCCUGAUGACAAAGAGUUUGCAGUGGCCAUUAGAGAAAUGUACUCAUGUUUUGCAGAGGGUCAUAUUCAUAUCUAUUUCACAGUGUGCCUUUUCCAAUAUAGGUUUCCUUUUAUUUGCACAGGAAAGAAUGUGGAGAAAGCUUUUCUUUAAUAAAAUGUCAGAUGUUUCAUCUUU
Non-coding RNA from Coturnix japonica (Japanese quail), 1267 nucleotides. The record is from RefSeq and is a predicted model, not a curated record. NCBI's taxonomy places the organism in Eukaryota, Metazoa, Chordata, Aves, Galliformes, Phasianidae.